RNAcentral lists this small RNA (569 nucleotides) under Pan troglodytes (chimpanzee). Its description in RNAcentral is "processed transcript". The record is from RNAcentral. Lineage: Eukaryota; Metazoa; Chordata; Mammalia; Primates; Hominidae.
GUCCUUGUCUUCCUGUCUUUCCUAGAGUACCUUCUCAACUAGUAACUUCAGCAACAUCUCUAGCUUCUUUCCCUCCUUGUUUAACUUUUUAACAAAAGCAUAGCAUACAUGCACCAGAUUACACAUAUUCUGGAUGUGCACCCUGAUGAAUUUCACAAAGCAAUCAUAGCCAGGUAAAUAGCCUGCAGACUCAGAGAGAAAGCAUCACCAGCACCAGAAGUGCAUGCUGCACUCCAGCCACUACCCUGGUAUGGAGAAGAUCAACUUUUCAGGUGGAGAGCCAUUUCUUCCAGACCGGGGAGAAUACCUGGGCAAGUUGGUGAGGUUCUGCAAAGUAGAGUUGCGGCUGCCCAGCGUGAGCAUCGUGAGCAAUGGAAGCCUGAUCCGGGAGAGGUGGUUCCAGAAUUAUGGUGAGUAUUUGGACAUUCUCGCUAUCUCCUGUGACAGCUUUGACGAGGAAGUCAAUGUCCUUAUUGGCCGUGGCCAAGGAAAGAAGAACCAUGUGGAAAACCUUCAAAAGCUGAGGAGGUGGUGUAGGGAUUAUAGAGUCGCUUUCAAGAUAAAUUCUG